Physcomitrium patens is the source of this 3328-nucleotide non-coding RNA. Lineage: Eukaryota; Viridiplantae; Streptophyta; Bryopsida; Funariales; Funariaceae. The record is from RefSeq and is a predicted model, not a curated record.
AUCCUUACUUUUGUUGUCGGCAGCCAGGAAGGCUCAGAGUGGAAAGGACGGAAUCUGCAGUGCUGCGAAUGAGACUGCGUUAUUUUUUCUUUUCUUUUUUCUAUUUUGUUCUGUAUUUGUUGUUUAGAUUUCUCCUUUUCUUCUUUCAGCCUUUUGUCGUGCACCUACGCAGUUUCCGUGCGCAACCACCUCACCUUCCAAUGCCCUUGCAUCUUCAUCACUGCCACCGCUUCUCAUUUAGCUUGCUAACGAAUUCUUAGGUUUUCCUUGCCUUGCCUCUCUCACUUUUAACAUGGCCCUGCCUCACCCCGACCUCCAUCACGACGACUGGGGCGUGCUGCUCUACUAUAAGUUCGUGGUCAUCGCAGAGCCUGCGCGUGUGGUUGAUUACCUCAACCGGCUUUGCACCUCUCUCUCCCUUCGCGGUCGCGUCCGCAUCGCCCCUGAUGGCGUCAAUAUCACUGUCACAGGGACCCUGCCUGCCCUCUACUCUCACGUCUCCGCCAUCCGAGCCCACCCCCUCUUCGCCUUCCCCUCCGUUGAUUUCAAGCUCUCCCCUGCUCCCCCUUUCGAUGCCGUCCCCCCGCACCUCGCUCUUGACUGUGGAUUUGCCUCACUCUCAGUUCGCCUCGUCCCCCACCUCAUCACUAUUGCGCCCAAUCCCCCUCCUAUCACCAAUGCCGGUCCCCAUGUUUCACCCCACCAAUUCCACUCCCUCCUUGAACACACCGAGUUGAAAUCGACUGUUCUCAUUGAUGCUCGGAACAUUUAUGAAACUCGUAUCGGCAAGUUCUGUCCUCCCUCGGAGGUCCAGUUCUUUGAUCCCUUGCUGCGACAAUAUAGCGACUUGCCAGGUUGGCUCGAUGCUCACCAGGAGCAACUGCGCAACAAACGCGUUCUCAUGUACUGCACAGGCGGUGUACGGUGCGAACUUGCGUCAUCCUAUUUGCGGAGCAAAGGGAAAGACUUCGAAGAUGUCAUGCAGCUUUCAGGAGGCAUUCAUCGGUACUUGGAGGAUUUUACCGAUGGAGGUUACUUUAAGGGCAAGAAUUUUGUAUUUGAUCAUAGUGGUGCAGACUGGAUUCAUUGGGUAUUUGUGGACAGAAUGGCUGUCGCAAGCAGUAGUGAGGAGAUUGUGGGCCGUUGCCUUCUCUGCAAAGCUCCCUUCGACGACUACUUUGCUCGAAAUCGGUGCUCUUUGUGCAGACUUCUUGUCCUCAUCUGCCCAACUUGUCAGGGUGCUGGAAACUCACCUGCAUCGUCUGCGAAGUAUGUUUGUGAACUCUGUGAAGUGAACCAAAAGGCUUUUGGGGGAUCAGAGACAGGAGAGGUGUAUAGUAUUAAGAGUGGUGCACCGAUAACAAAAGCUAUGACAUCACCAACGGAUUUGAAAACGUCUUUAUUACACGGAUUGGCAACGAAGCGGAAAUUAAGACUUCUUUGCUUGCAUGGCUUCCGUCAAAAUGCAAGUUGCUUCCAAGGUCGAUUGGGGUCUCUAAAGAAGAAGUUAAAACACAUUGCAGAUUUUGUGUUUGUUGAUGCACCUCACUCUCUCCCUUUUAUCCAACAAGAACGAACCGAAGAUUGGAGUGAUGUGGGGCCAAAAAGAGAUUUGAAAAGGGCAUUUUGUCAGAAACCGACUAGAAAGAAUGCGUGGCUAAUAAGUCCUGGCGAUGCACGGGCUAUGAAAGAGGAGGAAUCAGGAGUGGAAGGGGAGAGAAGGAACACACGAUUUGAGCCUUGGCAGUAUGAAACACAGACAGAAGGGUGGGAGAAGUCAUGGGAGUGUUUGCAAAGAGUUUUCCAAGAUCUGGGUCCCUUUGAUGGAGUGUUGGGGUUUUCGCAAGGUGCAGCUGUAGUUGCUGCUCUCUGCUCGCUUCGCCACACUCGACCCCUCAACAACGAUGUUAUCGAUGCUGCUGUGCAUUUUAGAUUUGCAGUUCUGUGCUCCGGAUAUUCAUCGCCUGUUCCCUUGCAUGCGAAGAUCACGUCCAGUGAAGCAGGAAUCCGUUGUCCAUCUCUGCAUAUAUAUGGUGGACAAGAUCGUCAAAUAGGUUCCGAAAUGUCAGAGCAAUUAGCUAGCUUGUUCCACAGAGACGAUCGUGUAAUCAUUAAGCAUGAUUACGGACAUAUCAUUCCCACAAAACCGGAGUACAUAGAACAAUAUGUGCAUUUCCUUCGCGGAUUUCUUGAAUAGCCUGGAAAUACAUACUGUAUCCAGCACUGAAAGAAUGCUAAGUCAGCACUUACACUGCCGGAUGGACAGUAAAGGGAUGGAGUGAAUUUUUCUGGAGCAAGGAAGGAAAAUCAUACGCCACAUGGCACUAUGCACCGUGUCCAGAGAACACGUGGGACAAUGGAAGAGCCUUAAGCCUCACAGCGACACGUGUAAGGAAUCAAAUCGCCACGUAGGCAGUGACAGGGCAGAGGAGUGAGAGUAACAUAUUGCAGACCUAACCAGAUGUUGACAUAUCUUCUUCCUUUUCUGCCCUGCCCUGCUCUGCCCUUGCUGCUGCAUAGUUAUCUCAAACACUCUACUUUCGCUAUCUCCAUGUAAUCCUACAAUCCCCUCUCCUACGAUUUUUUGUGCAUGCUGUUGAACUUAUAGUUAUUAGUUUGUGUUUUUUAGGCGUGCCAUUCAAACUUAUUCUCGUCGUGGUUUUGUAGCCAUGGCGAUGAUUAGUGUGCGCAGUUCAUCCUUGGGAGCAAUUGUGCUGCUGGUGCUCCUGGUGUCUCUUCUUGUCGUUCAUUCUUCUGUAGACUCCACUGCUGAUCACGCCAAACAAAGCACAGCUGAUGCUGCCUCCGCUGCUCAAGACUCCACCAAUUCCUGGAUGGAUAUGGCUAAGGACAAGCUCAACCUCUUCUCCAAGGGCCACACUGAGGCAACGAAAAGUGCAGAGGAGACUGCCACUGAUGCUGCCAACGUAGCAGGAAGCAAGGCCCAGGAAAGCAAGGAUGCUGCAGCAGACACCACAUCAGGUUAGAGUAAUAUUGUGGAACACUUUUCUCGCUGUGUUUGCAAGUGUCUAUGUCAGUAUUACUUAUUUAUACCCAGCUCAAUGCUUCCCCUAUAUUUGGUCACAACUCUUGUUAUGAUGGAUACUGCUACCUUCUGAGUAAAAGUUUUUCAUGAAGUGAGUGGCGGUGACUUGGCUUCGCUAGUGCGGACUGUUCUUGUUGCAGGAUACUGGAAGACUUUGAGCAACCGCAUCAAAAUUAUUUCAGAUAGCAUCAGCAGAUUUGGAAAAGGCAUGGCAGAGUCGGGAAAGGUAGCUUCAGAAGGGAUAGUAGGCAAAGCAACCGAGGGCGCAGAUUAUUUGAAGAG